UACAGAGGGGGCGAGCGUUGUUCGGAAUUACUGGGCGUAAAGGGCGCGUAGGCGGCCAACUAAGUCAGACGUGAAAUCCCUCGGCUUAACCGGGGAACUGCGUCUGAUACUGGAUGGCUUGAAUCCGGGAGAGGGAUGCGGAAUUCCAGGUGUAGCGGUGAAAUGCGUAGAUAUCUGGAGGAACACCGGUGGCGAAGGCGCAGC
RNAcentral lists this ribosomal RNA (204 nucleotides) under uncultured bacterium. RNAcentral describes it as "partial 16S ribosomal RNA". It matches the Rfam family "Bacterial small subunit ribosomal RNA", at positions 524 to 728 of the family's 1533-position model. The record is from RNAcentral.